GAGUUAGAUAUUGUCUCCUCUGACCUGAAAGCCACCUGGGCAGCAUUAUGACUUCUGACCUCCUCUUUUGGAGUAAAGAGAUCAUGGAAGUUCUCUACACUCUCCAGGGACUAGUGGGACCCAAGGAAGAUAAUAAACUGUGGACAAAACACAAAAACCAACUACUGAAGUCUCUAAAGAAUGAACAAAAACACAUUCUUCCCCCUCCACAAGAAAACAUUUACAAUGUCUGGGAUGUAAUCCAAAAUUACUUGACAUAUGAAGAAUCUGGAAAAUGCAAUCCACCCCCAAUGGAAAAGACAAUCAACAGAAGCCAACCUUGAUACGACCCAGAUAUCAGAAAUAACAAGACUUUAAAGCAGCUAUAAUUACUGCUGAGGUAAGAGAAGACAUGCUCAUUAUGGAUGAAAAGAAUGGGAAAUCUCAGCAGAGAAACUAGAAAUAUAACAACAACAAAAACAAAUAGGAGCUUUAAAACUUGAAAAAUUCAAUAUCUGAAAUAAAAAGCUUACUGGAUAGGCUUAAUAGCAGAAUGAAGAUGACAAAAAAUUGAUUGGAAAAAGGUCAGUGAAAAUUACCCAAUCUGAAGAGGAGAGAGAAAAAAAUUUAAAAAGAAAGUGUUUCAGGACCCUCUGAAGUCCCAGAAGGUGGGGAAUGAGAGAAAGUGGUGGGAAAAAACAUCAGCAUAAAUUAUAGCUAAAAACAGUCCUAAAUUUGGCAAGAGAUAAAUUUAUAAAUUCAAGAAGCUCAUGAACUGUAAAGAAGAUUAAAAACAACAUCAAUCACAAAAAUAAAUGCCUAGGUUGAUAGAAACCAAAAAUAAAAAAGUUGUGAAAGGAGACAGAGAGAAAAAAACAUAUACAGGGCAACAAUUGGAAUCAUCGGACUUCUCUUUAGAAAAUAUGAAGUCCAGAAGACACCUGGAACAAUAUUUUAAACUUUCUGAGAUAGGAGAAGCACACUUCACUUUAAAUAUAAAGGCACAGACAGGUUAAAGUAAAUGGAUGUAAAAAGAGCAUGCAAACAGUGAAUGAUUAUCGUACUAAUAUUGGAGGGGGAAGCAUAUCACCUGCCUAGCUGCCACAGUAUGAUUUCAAAAAAAACAAGAACAUUCACCAAGAACAAACAAAAAAACCUCUUCAAAUAGACCAUGGAACUGAAUUCAAACUUGUAUCUGAUAACAGCGAUGACAAUAUCUCUCUAUAACAAUCCUGACCAGCAUAUAUCACAAUUACUACAGAGGCUACUGACAAGAAAUCCAACCUUGGUAUGCUGUACACGACUGUCCUCCCACCCUCCCAGUGAAAUCAAACAAAAUUAAUAAUAGUCUACUACAUCAGAGGGA
RNAcentral lists this long non-coding RNA (1345 nucleotides) under Homo sapiens (human). RNAcentral describes it as "non-protein coding lnc-KCNS2-4:2". The record is from RNAcentral. Lineage: Eukaryota; Metazoa; Chordata; Mammalia; Primates; Hominidae.